This 240-nucleotide unclassified non-coding RNA is filed under the name soil metagenome. RNAcentral describes it as "partial contains 5.8S ribosomal RNA, internal transcribed spacer 2, and large subunit ribosomal RNA". The record is from RNAcentral.
AACCAUUCUCACCUGCGGCUAGACCUGCGGAAGGAUCAUUAAAAAGAGUGUGUACCCCUCUGUAAAAUGAGUGGGUUACCUCCCGUCCUUUGUUGACCUCUUAGGAGGUUAUUUUGAACUUUCUGCUUCGGUGGGGUUAAACCUACCGGAACACCCUCAAAUUCUUAUCAUUUAAAAAUUGUUCAGUCUGAUUUUUGUUAGUAAAAACAAAAAACUUUUAACAACGGAUCUCAGAUCGGA